UACGGAGGGGGCUAGCGUUGUCCGGAUUUACUGGGCGUAAAGAGCGCGCAGGCGGUCGUUCAAGUCGCGUGUGAAAGCCCCCGGCUCAACUGGGGAGGGUCACGCGAUACUGAUCGACUCGAAGGCAGGAGAGGGUAGUGGAAUUCCCGGUGUAGUGGUGAAAUGCGUAGAUAUCGGGAAGAACACCCGUGGCGAAGGCGGUUCUCUGGGACGGUACUGACGCUGAGACGCGAAAGCGUGGGGAGCGAACAGG
Molecule: ribosomal RNA, 253 nt
Filed under: uncultured bacterium
Lineage: Bacteria
Description: partial 16S ribosomal RNA
Rfam family: Bacterial small subunit ribosomal RNA
Source: RNAcentral